RNAcentral lists this ribosomal RNA (255 nucleotides) under uncultured bacterium. RNAcentral's name for it is "partial 16S ribosomal RNA". It matches the Rfam family "Bacterial small subunit ribosomal RNA", at positions 524 to 776 of the family's 1533-position model. The record is from RNAcentral.
UACGAAGGGGGGCUAGCGUUGUUCGGAAUUACUGGGCGUAAAGCGCACGUAGGCGGAUAUUUAAGUCAGGGGGUGAAAUCCCAGAGCUCAACUCUGGAACUGCCUUUGAUACUGGGUAUCUUGAGUAUGGAAGAGGUAAGUGGAAUUGCGAGUGUAGAGGUGAAAUUCGUAGAUAUUCGCGGGAACACCAGUGGCGAAGGCGGCUUACUGGUCCAUAACUGACGCUGAGGUGCGAAAGCGUGGGGAGCAAACAGG